Long non-coding RNA from Nematostella vectensis (starlet sea anemone), 200 nucleotides. RefSeq lists it as uncharacterized. The transcript is spliced from 2 exons. The record is from RefSeq and is a predicted model, not a curated record. Lineage: Eukaryota; Metazoa; Cnidaria; Anthozoa; Actiniaria; Edwardsiidae.
UACUUGACCUUUCAUUAAAAUUAAUCUUACAAAUCGGCUUUUCUCCCAGAAACCUCUUGGCAGAAGUAACUUCCAAGGAUGAACCAAGACAAUUAUACUGCAUCUGAGAUUAGUAUACAGUAAGGGUAGAGUUUAUUAUCUGUGGUUUGUCUCCUGUACAAACAGGUAUGUGUAUCUAAUAAAGACGGCUGUCAAGAAAA